This 79-nucleotide transfer RNA is filed under the name Methylobacterium persicinum. Its description in RNAcentral is "tRNA-His". Lineage: Bacteria; Pseudomonadati; Pseudomonadota; Alphaproteobacteria; Hyphomicrobiales; Methylobacteriaceae. The record is from RNAcentral.
CGGCGGCGUGGUCGGCGGAGCGGUAGGCGGUGCCGUGGGCACCGUCAACGGCGCCCUCGGGAUCGACCCGGGCCGCCGC